Molecule: ribosomal RNA, 492 nt
Filed under: uncultured bacterium
Lineage: Bacteria
Description: partial 16S ribosomal RNA
Rfam family: Bacterial small subunit ribosomal RNA
Source: RNAcentral
AGUGAACGCUGGCGGUAGGCCUAACACAUGCAAGUCGAACGGCAGCACAGUAAGAGCUUGCUCUUACGGGUGGCGAGUGGCGGACGGGUGAGGAAUACAUCGGAAUCUACUUUUUCGUGGGGGAUAACGUAGGGAAACUUACGCUAAUACCGCAUACGACCUACGGGUGAAAGCAGGGGAUCUUCGGACCUUGCGCGAUUGGAUGAGCCGAUGUCGGAUUAGCUAGUUGGCGGGGUAAAGGCCCGCCAAGGCGACGAUCCGUAGCUGGUCUGAGAGGAUGAUCAGCCACACUGGAACUGAGACACGGUCCAGACUCCGACGGGAGGCAGCAGUGGGGAAUAUUGGACGAUGGGCGCAAGCCUGAUCCAGCCAUACCGCGUGGGUGCAGAAGGCCUUCGGGUUGUAUAGCCCUUUUGUUGGGAAAGAAAAGCAGCAGGUUAAUACCCCGCUGUUCUGACGGUACCCAAAGAAUAAGCACCGGCUAACUUCGUG